This is a non-coding RNA of Camellia sinensis, 671 nucleotides long. Lineage: Eukaryota; Viridiplantae; Streptophyta; Magnoliopsida; Ericales; Theaceae. The record is from RefSeq and is a predicted model, not a curated record.
AUAUAUUUUAUUUUUAAGAAUAUGUAUUUUUGAUUGCAUAAUAUUACUAAAAAAAACUCCCAACUCAUAUCAAAAUAAUAGAGAGCACAACAUAACAGAGAGAGUAGAUAGAGAAAGAGAGGUAGAUAUACAAGCAGAGAGACACAGACAAAAGCCUUGGAAGCCUUGGGAAUUGCUUUGGGCAGCCAAUUUACAUGGCAUCCACUUCCACGGCGGCCACCGCCACCUUAAUGCCCUGUCGGCUACCCUCCACCACCACUGCCAACUACCCACCUCGCUGCUCAUCACUGCCUUCUCUUCCACCCCUCCUCUUGUCCACCCCAGCCUUUUCCACUUCCUUGAAACAGCUCUCUCAGUUUCUAAAUUGCAUUUGGAAAAAUGCAAACUUGCAUAAGAAAAACGAACUUAUGUUGUGCGUGGUUAUUUUGGGAAAUUGAUAAAGCAGAACCCGGGAGGUUUUCUAUUCUUCAAGUCAAGGCCACUUCCUCAGAAGAGUCAUCUCCUCCUGUUGAUGCCGGAAAAUUAUUCAGUGAUCUAAAGGAAAAGGUGAGGAGCAAACCGGGCACCAUACCAAAGAAGAGGAAGCUUGAAACUAUUUCUCAGUUUGUCUUUCCAUUGCUUUCUGUUACAACUUCUUUUGAUUUGAGUCUAUACUGAUGGUUCACAUGAAA